AGUGAACGCUGGCGGUAGGCCUAACACAUGCAAGUCGAACGGCAGCACCGUAAGUGCUUGCUCUUACGGGUGGCGAGUGGCGGACGGGAGAGGUAUGUAACGGACUCUACUUUUUCGUGGGGGAUAACGUAGGGGAACUUACUCUAAUACCGCAUACGACCUACGGGUGAAGGCAGGGGAUCGUUUGACCUUUCGCGAUUGAAUGAGCCGAUGUCGGAUUAGCUAGUGGGCGGGGUAAAGGCCAACCAAGGGGAGGAUCCGUAGCUGGACUGGGAGAAUGGUCAGCGACAUGGGAAGUGAGACACGGUCCAGACUCCUGAGGGAGGCAGCAGUGGGGAAUAUGAGGCAAUGGGCGCGAGCCUGAUCCAGCGAUACCGCGUGGGUGACGAAGGCCUUCGGGUUGUAAAGCCCUUUUGUUGGGAGAGAAAAGCAGCAGGUUAAGACCCCGCUGUACUGACGGUACCCAAAGAAUAAGCACCGGCUAACUUCGUG
This 492-nucleotide ribosomal RNA is filed under the name uncultured bacterium. RNAcentral describes it as "partial 16S ribosomal RNA". It matches the Rfam family "Bacterial small subunit ribosomal RNA", at positions 29 to 507 of the family's 1533-position model. The record is from RNAcentral.